Molecule: ribosomal RNA, 532 nt
Filed under: Candida albicans
Lineage: Eukaryota; Fungi; Ascomycota; Pichiomycetes; Serinales; Debaryomycetaceae
Description: LSU rRNA
Rfam family: Eukaryotic large subunit ribosomal RNA
Source: RNAcentral
UCAAAUUUGAAAUCUGGCGUCUUUGGCGUCCGAGUUGUAAUUUGAAGAAGGUAUCUUUGGGCCCGGCUCUUGUCUAUGUUCCUUGGAACAGGACGUCACAGAGGGUGAGAAUCCCGUGCGAUGAGAUGACCCGGGUCUGUGUAAAGUUCCUUCGACGAGUCGAGUUGUUUGGGAAUGCAGCUCUAAGUGGGUGGUAAAUUCCAUCUAAAGCUAAAUAUUGGCGAGAGACCGAUAGCGAACAAGUACAGUGAUGGAAAGAUGAAAAGAACUUUGAAAAGAGAGUGAAAAAGUACGUGAAAUUGUUGAAAGGGAAGGGCUUGAGAUCAGACUUGGUAUUUUGCAUGCUGCUCUCUCGGGGGCGGCCGCUGCGGUUUACCGGGCCAGCAUCGGUUUGGAGCGGCAGGAUAAUGGCGGAGGAAUGUGGCACGGCUUCUGCUGUGUGUUAUAGCCUCUGACGAUACUGCCAGCCUAGACCGAGGACUGCGGUUUUUACCUAGGAUGUUGGCAUAAUGAUCUUAAGUCGCCCGUCUUG